RNAcentral lists this transfer RNA (22 nucleotides) under Pachydactylus weberi. RNAcentral describes it as "partial tRNA-Cys". The record is from RNAcentral. Lineage: Eukaryota; Metazoa; Chordata; Lepidosauria; Squamata; Gekkonidae.
CGCCGCGAGGCUUCUCCCGUUU